UACGGAGGGGGCAAGCGUUGUUCGGAAUUACUGGGCGUAAAGGGCGUGUAGGCGGCUUUAUAAGUCAGACGUGAAAGUCCUGGGCUUAACCUGGGGAUUGCGUAUGAGACUGUGAGGCUAGAGUGCGAGAGAGGAGAGUAGAAUUCCAAGUGUAGAGGUGAAAUUCGUAGAUAUUUGGAGGAAUACCGGUGGCGAAGGCGGCUCUCUGGAUCGUAACUGACGCUGAGGCGCGAAAGCGUGGGGAGCAAACAGG
This 253-nucleotide ribosomal RNA is filed under the name uncultured bacterium. RNAcentral's name for it is "partial 16S ribosomal RNA". It matches the Rfam family "Bacterial small subunit ribosomal RNA", at positions 524 to 776 of the family's 1533-position model. The record is from RNAcentral.